GUUAUUUUUAUAUUUUAUUAUUUUUUUUUGAACUCUAGAUUUUUUGCAAUUUAUAUAUCUAUUUUUUGUGAGAAAAUCCAGCCUCGAAUUAAAUUUGAAUUAUUUGAAGCAAGUAAAUUAAUAAUAAUUAUAUAUAUAUAUAUAUAUAUAUAUAAAUAAAUUGUAAUAUAUUUCAAACACAUAGGACAUCCAAUUACACGAGAUACAAAAAAAAUUACAAAUAGUUUAAUAAAACAAAUAAAAAAAACACACUCCCAACUAUUAAAGGCGAUAGACCCAUCCGUAAAGAUCACACGUCGAACACGUCGAAAGUAAUACAAAAACAGCCCAAAAAUUUAUUUGGGUACGGCCCUGUAAUUUUCAAAAUCAGUGGGAUAGAGAGAGAUACACAAUCACUUGCACAGCCUAAAGUAGGAAUCGCCAGAACGCAGGUGUUUUAUCUUUGUUUAAUAGACUGGCUAAAAAGAGUUGAGAAGUCUUUGAGUGCUGGGAGUGUUUAAAAGGUUUUGUAAGAUGUUUGGAUUUUAGUCCGUGGUCAAUUUUUUGAUAUUAUUUUCUUUAUAAAAAUAGACAUUUUCGAAUGAAAAAUAAAAAAUAACAUAAAACAUGGGGUUUUACGUAUAUUUAUAAUGACAUAGAUAAAUUAUAUAAAAUUUUGCCAUUUAAACAUGUAUAUCAUCGGACAAUAAAUACGACAUAGGCGCACGGACUAUUUAUUGCGGCAUCUGCGACACAUCAAAGAUUCUAAUAGAUCUCUGAACUGGACUUUACUAAAGACGUAUUACGUACUAUGAGAGUAUACAGGGUGUUCGAAAAAUAGACGGAGAUAUUUCAAUGGGUGAUUGCUUGUAAAAAAAUAUGAGAAAUUGUCUAUAAACAUGGGUUUGGAAAUGCAUAGUUUUUAAGAUACAGGGUGAUCAAUUUUUUUUUAAAUAUUAUUUUUUUAUUAAUAUUAAAAAGAAUAUUUACUCGAUUUUUUUGAAACUUGGCAGUAUUACUUGUUUUAUUAAGAGGCCUAUUUAGCUCUAAUUAGAUUAAAAAUAUAAGGUUCAGUGGCGUCCCGGGGGACAUCUUAGCAAAUAUUAUUGGCAAAAAAAUGUACGCCACUGCCUUUUUUCAACUUUAAUAUUUGUUGUUUGAUUAAGCAUUUGAAAAUACAACUUUUUUGCCUCUUGUAUUUUUUUCGUAUCUCACUUCGUUUUCGACAAAAAAAAAUAAAUACCGUUUUAUUGCAUGCCACUGGACAAAAUUGGUUUAUUAAUUUUUGGUGAAAAAAUCACAGGUGCCUUGGAAAACAAAAAAUAUCCGUCUAUUUUUUGAACACCCUGUAUAGGACAUCCACUUUCCGCAGGAUUCUAUGUCAUAUGUACGUACUUCUAGGACAUUUUACGUCAUGUAUUGGUCAUAAUGUGACGUAUCUAGGAUGUUUACACCACUCCCUUUUUUGAGUGGUAAAAUGUAUUUGGGAGCAAAAUAACUCAUUUAUAAAAACCUAAAAUAUAUUGAUUAUGAAACAAAUUAUAAAAAUAUUAAACAAAGCAUGUAUAUGUCUAAAAAACAAAACAAAAAAUGAACGUUUAGGAAAGUACAAAGAACAAAUAGCAUUUGCAAUACAGUCUUCAAUUUUCUUUGUGCUUCCAAUCCGUGCUUGUAGUGCUGAACCUUAAAAUUAUAUUUUAAAAUAAGCAAAUUAUAAAAUAAGUAAUAUAAGUUCAUUACCACUAAAUAAAUACAUAGGCUUUUACCAUGAAUUGGGAUAGAUCACAGUAGAUCCGUCCUGUCACUGAGCGAACAGUAAAACUAAAUUCAAAUGUUAUUAUAAGCCGAAUUUUGAUAAAGCCUAAAUUCACAGGAGCGUAAACUUUUUUUACAAAUGGACAACCCAAACCUUGACGCUGUUCUCGCAUCUGUCACUUGUCUUAAACACUGUCAACACUGUCAACUCCCCAAUGUUACCAAUUACUUAUUUGACAGUCAAUGGCGGCAACAAAAACGCUGGGUAACUUUUGCGACCGAUCUUGAUGAUGUUGAUACAUUAUGACAAAUACUUCAUUAUCUAUAAUUUUUAGAUGUUUUGAAAAUCCUAUACCCAAUUACUUUUCGACCAGAUCAACAUGUAAAUUAACUAAAUUUAUAGGGUAUGUCAGUUUUUUGGAAAAAAAGAAUCUCGAUGUAACAGUUGUUGUCUAAUUUAUACCGAAUUCGUUGACUUUUCACUUUUUCUAUCAAAGCAAAGAAGCAUAUGCAAAUCGUGUUUUUUCUGUUUACCCUACCGAAAUUAGAAGUAUUGAAAAUAAAACUUAGAAGUAUUCAAAUAAAUUCUUUUAAAAAAAUUUAUACUAUUUUUUUUUAUUCUCCUAUAAUCCAUAGGAGCUAAAACAUUUUCUAAGUAUUAAUGUAUACAUGUAGGUACUUCCGCGAGUCGUAUUUAAUUUAUGUACGAAUUACGUAUCCAAAAGUACGUACUAAAUACGUUAUUUUCAUAACAAUGAACAUAUGGACAUAAAUGUGACAUAAAAAUUACGUACCCAGGACCUAUGAUGCUGUUUGGGUAUUAUUCGCAAAUGUCCUGCGUGGUAUGGUCCAAAUAACGAAACCGUGGAACAUCUAUUGGACGUCCUGGGUAGAAUUGUCAGAUUUAGGAUAUUCGUGGGAUGUCUAAUUAAAUAUAUACUUUUAUGAAAUCUAUAAAUUUUUAUUUUAUUUUUUAAUCUUGAGUGUUAGUUAGUUAAGCAGUGAUCGCGUAUGUACAGCUUAUUGUAUAGCAUAGCUUAUAUAGUGACUUUUUCCUAACGUUCCCUCACUUCUUGUUGACGUAAAAAUGACACUUUUCCGACAUAACCGAUGAUGGAUGCAAUAUGCCCACAUAUGCUCAAGUUAUCCUGUAUAUAAACGCCCACCUAUUAAAACCUUAGUGGGUGGGCCACUUAAGAUAACUUUUAGCAAUAUUUAAUUUAAAGGAAAAAAAAAACAUUUAAGGGAGUGUCCGCACCGAUAUUUAUGACAUAAGAUUUAAAACACAGCUUCAUUAUUUAUGACCUAAAAUUAAGGAGGGUGGUCUUAAGAAAAACUAAAUAGGGUUAGGAUACCAUACAUACUUUUUUCUCUUACGUUUCCUGUCCACACCUCCAUCACCGCCUUUUUUCGUUAACUAACAUCCCCCCCUCGUGUGACAACAAUGACGUUUGCCUCGCGUCAUAUUUUUACCAUAUUAUAAGGUGCAGCUGGGUGGGCGUAACUAUAGACCCAUGCCAUUAUACAAAAGACCCAUUUUCUGCUACUUUAUGUAUCCAUAAAUGCAUUAUAUCCAAUCCGGCCUAUAAAAUUGAUAAAAAUCAGGGGCGGAAUUAAGUGGGGCGCGUGCUUGUUUUACGAAAACAGCUCCCCUGCUAUCGGGGUGUUUUGUUCGGGCCUUGCCCCCCCGUGUGUUACGUCAAUGGAACGCCUUAAGGGGGUUAAUGACGUCCAAUUAGAGCGGAUGUAUUCAAGGGUUUUUUUUUGGGAAAAUUUAGUCAUGAGAUCAUAUUUUAUAAGUCAGAAAAAAUUGAAUUUCAUGCUUUAUAUGCAGGGUUAGACUCCUUCACUGAUUUUAAGAAGAAAAAUUAAUAGCUGACAAAUUAACUUUUACAAUUAGUUGAAAUAAUUGUUAUGAAUUGGCGAAGGUGCAGGGCAUAUUUCAAAUCGAAUUGCUGAGAGACAUUUUCUCUUAGACUAAACGUGUUGUGCUAUAAAUUUAUGGUACUAAUAUAGUUACAUUAUUUAUUAGAUAAUGCGUUAGAGAAGCGCAAGCCUAUACUGAUAGCAAUAAGUAAGAUAGAGAAAAGAUAUAUUUUUCCAGACAAAUUUUCGUGCUAUUAGAGGCUUACAGUUAAGAAAAUCUAAAUUUGAUGACACGAUUUUGUUAAAAAGAAAAAAAUAUAAGCGAAAAGUUCAAUAUCCUCCUGGAAUUAAUCAAACAUGUGCAAAAGAAUAUUCCUGAGAUAUAACAUCAUUAUUUCGUAACCGUCCUUAUAAUAUUCUUUAAAUAUUCAAGGAAUAAUCCUAAUUAAUAAAAUUGUUUUGGUGUCUAACAGUAAAUUAAAACGAUUCAAGGAAACCCUCUUGCGAUUGUCGGUGUAGCGGUCGAAUAAGCAGCAUCAAAAUAGCGAAUUUCGUAAAAACAUCUAAUUAUUCCUUAUUUUCCUUUGGAAAAUUGGACUUUCUUCCAAGCUUUAUUUAAAAAAUGGUCUGUUCCGAGUCAAAAUUAUGUCCACCCCAAAUUUUGCUUUCCAGGUAAAAAUGAUGUGGGUUCAACUGCCACUAAAGCUCAAAUAUCUCAAAAACCAAUAAAGAUAAAAUUAUUAAACAAAAAGAACUAAAUUCAGAAAAAUAUUUUCUACACAUAUUUUUAAAGCAGCAAACUGGUCCAAGUAAUACUUUCUUAGUUAUCCGAGUUUAAAUACCCAUCCCGUGACACUUAAAUCAAAUAACAAUGAAAGUAUGAAAAUUUUGCAAAAAAAAUCCUGAUUUCUAAUAUUUAUACAUCGGGGUAGCAGUCGAAUAAACAGCAUCAAAAUAGUGUAUUUGAAGUUGCGUCAUCUCAAACGUCUUCAAGUGAAGCUCAAUAACUCAAAGAGCAGUAAAGAUAAAAUUACGAAAUAAAAAGCACAAAAUACACAAAAGGAUUUUCUACAAAUAAUAUUGAUGAAACAAAUUGAUUCAAGUAAAACUUUUUGAAUUAUUUGACUUUGAAUAGCGAAAAUUUGGCAAAAAAUCCAGAUUUGCCUGUAAUAUAUUUUUUUUUAAUUAAAAAUCCUGACUUACUUCAAUAUACACACCGGUCAAAUAAAUAGCAUUAAUAUAGAGUAUUUAAAGUUGACUCAAAUACCUAUGAAAAACCAAUAACGAUAAAAUUACGAAACAAAAAGCUAAAUUGAAAAAAAGGUUUUCUACAAAUAUUCUUUUAGUUACAAACUGAUCCCAGUUAAACCUACUGCCUUAUCCGACUUUGAAUACCCAAAAACCAUCGUAAUCAAAGUAAAUUCGUCACAUUUGAAGCAAAUAAUAGAAGCCAAAAAUACACUUUCUUCAUAGAUAAAACACCUGAUCUCCCAAAAGUGUUAAAAACUCCCUAACAAUAGUAUAUCCGAUUGAAAACGUCAAUCAGCACACCUUUUACGGUCCCAAAAACCGUAAAUACUAAUGAAAUUGACGGACAUGUGUCAUCGGACGUGUCCACUCGGUUGGAGGUCCGUUUUUGACUUAUUCGUCUAAUUUAAACCCACGUCAAAGGCCAUUUAGUUACACCCUUAAGUUGAGGCGCCAACGUCGGCUCUAUUGUCUUCUGGUUUUUAAAGUACAACUACGAAAGUACAAAAUGGCAAUUAAGUAGCGCAGCUCAGCAGAUAUAGGGUAGGAUUUUCAUAAACACCACCUACGAAAGAAAUAUAUGAGAAAGAUUGCUGUUUUCAAGAUUGCUAAUUUGGAGACAUCCUUCAUUACUAAUGAUGCUUGAAUCAUCUUUCAAAAUUACUGCAGCACUAUUUUUGAGAGUUUUCAAGGAACAAAUUUAUUAGAUAUUAAAGGAACAAAGAGCAGAAAAUUAUUACAGAAGUCUAGUGCGCCUGACAAAAAGGUUAAAAGUAAUGAUCUUAAUAGAGUUGGUUUUGAGGGUGAUGUAAGUAAUGACACUAGUGAGGAAGAAUCAGAGGAAGAUGGACAUUGAUACCUGUAAAAGAAAUACCUGAAAAAAACGUUCAAGAAAUAAAUAAAGGAACACUUGAGACAAUUAAAAUUUAAGUUGAAGUGGCUAGUUGAAGUCAUGGAGGUUAUUCAUGAAAAAUCCAUUAUUAUAAUUUUGCUGGUUAUUUUGGAAAAUGAGGUUGAUAGAGAAAGUCUGGAAAAUAUGAACAUGGAAUUCUUGAAAGAAUUAAAAAUUUGACCAAAUUAUCCUUGAUUAAUUCAACUGAAGAGAAAUUGAUCAAUGGCACGAAUCUGAAAUCUGGAAAGUGAUCUGGCAAGGAAAAGGAGUUCCUACGAAACAAAUUAGUGGAUCUAGUAAUAAGGAAUGAACUAAUAAUCUAGGUGCUUUUGUUUAACAUAGUAUAUAUUAAUACAUUUUAUUUCAAUGAAA
RNAcentral lists this long non-coding RNA (6112 nucleotides) under Anthonomus grandis grandis. RNAcentral describes it as "uncharacterized LOC126742224". Lineage: Eukaryota; Metazoa; Arthropoda; Insecta; Coleoptera; Curculionidae. The record is from RNAcentral.